This 497-nucleotide ribosomal RNA is filed under the name uncultured bacterium. RNAcentral describes it as "partial 16S ribosomal RNA". It matches the Rfam family "Bacterial small subunit ribosomal RNA", at positions 28 to 507 of the family's 1533-position model. The record is from RNAcentral.
GAUGAACGCUGGCGGCGUGCCUAAUACAUGCAAGUCGAGCGAACAGAUAAGGAGCUUGCUCCUUUGACGUUAGCGGCGGACGGGUGAGUAACACGUGGGUAACCUACCUAUAAGACUGGGAUAACUUCGGGAAACCGGAGCUAAUACCGGAUAACAUUUGGAACCGCAUGGUUCUAAAGUGAAAGAUGGUUUUGCUAUCACUUAUAGAUGGACCCGCGCCGUAUUAGCUAGUUGGUAAGGUAACGGCUUACCAAGGCAACGAUACGUAGCCGACCUGAGAGGGUGAUCGGCCACACGGGAACUGAGACACGGUCCAGACUCCUACGGGAGGCAGCAGUAGGGAAUCUUCCGCAAUGGGCGAAAGCCUGACGGAGCAACGCCGCGUGAGUGAUGAAGGGUUUCGGCUCGUAAAACUCUGUUAUUAGGGAAGAACAAAUGUGUAAGUAACUGUGCACGUCUUGACGGUACCUAAUCAGAAAGCCACGGCUAACUACGUG